Molecule: ribosomal RNA, 468 nt
Filed under: uncultured bacterium
Lineage: Bacteria
Description: partial 16S ribosomal RNA
Rfam family: Bacterial small subunit ribosomal RNA
Source: RNAcentral
GACGAACGCUGGCGGCGUGCUUAACACAUGCAAGUCGAACGGAAAGGCCCUGCUUUUGUGGGGUGCUCGAGUGGCGAACGGGUGAGUAACACGUGAGUAACCUGCCCUUGACUGUGGGAUAACUUCAGGAAACUGGGGCUAAUACCGGAUAGGAGCUCCUGCUGCAUGGUGGGGGUUGGAAAGUUUCGGCGGUUGGGGAUGGACUCGCGGCUUAUCAGCUUGUUGGUGGGGUAGUGGCUUACCAAGGCUUUGACGGGUAGCCGGCCUGAGAGGGUGACCGGCCACAUUGGGACUGAGGUACGGCCCAGACUCCUACGGGAGGCAGCAGUGGGGAAUAUUGCACAAUGGGCGGAAGCCUGAUGCAGCAACGCCGCGUGCGGGAUGACGGCCUUCGGGUUGUAAACCGCUUUCGCCUGUGACGAAGCGUGAGUGACGGUAAUGGGUAAAGAAGCACCGGCUAACUACGUG